Molecule: small RNA, 573 nt
Filed under: Pongo abelii (Sumatran orangutan)
Lineage: Eukaryota; Metazoa; Chordata; Mammalia; Primates; Hominidae
Description: retained intron
Source: RNAcentral
AAUGAAGGUGACCUUCAUGGAAUGACUCCUCUCCAUCUGGCAGCAAAGAAUGGACAUGACAAAGUAGUUCAGCUUCUUCUGAAAAAAGGUGCAUUGUUUCUCAGUGACCACAAUGGCUGGACGGCUUUGCAUCAUGCGUCCAUGGGCGGGUACACUCAGACCAUGAAGGUCAUUCUUGAUACUAAUUUGAAGUGCACAGAUCGCCUGGAUGAAGAUGGGGUAUGUACAUGCUUACCCAAAAUCUUGAUAUAGCAGAAACUUCCAACAUUGCCAGAAAACUCUCCUAGACACCUUUUACCUUCCUUGCUCUAUUCCCAGCCUUUUGUUGGGUGUUUAGCAAGUGGAUUCUUGAGGUGAAGUAUGAAUCAAAAGGCAACAGAAUUGGGAGAAUACCAAGGGGUGGGUGAAUGUUGGGGAAACCUCCAGUCUCACAGAUCAGCAAGGUCCACAGGCCGUUGAAAUUUGAUGGUAAAGCGUUUACUCCCUGGUAGUUCCAGAGAAAUGAAGGCAGGGGUGAGUUUUCAUUAAGCUAAGUGUUAUUUUGAAGUGUCUUGAUUUGAAAUACUGCCCUUU